UUGCUUGAGUCUCUAAUUGUUUGGAAUUGCAUGGGAAUGAAAGAAAAUGACCAAGGCAUUUUGUUCUUUAGUGUAAAUAACUACUAUGCCAUAUAACCUACCCUUAUUUAGGAAAUCACUUGGUUACCCCAUUUGAGCCAAAAAUUUAAAAAAAAUAUUCUUGCUUCUUGUAUAUGAUCCCAAGCUUAAAAGAAAAACAAUGUCUCUUCCUUACUUUCUAAGUUGAGAGAGCAUGCAUGAUUAGAUUGUAUAUAAGUGUGCAAGUUGAGGGGAGUGGAGGCUAUUAACAUCUUGGUUUGAAAUUAUCAAUUUCUCAAUCUUGUGUGUA
This 328-nucleotide long non-coding RNA is filed under the name Lotus japonicus. RNAcentral describes it as "long non-coding RNA (LJAP_LNC000054)". Lineage: Eukaryota; Viridiplantae; Streptophyta; Magnoliopsida; Fabales; Fabaceae. The record is from RNAcentral.